CACAAUGACGGUAAACUUCAGAAAAACGUAGGAGAACCUCUCGCAAUAUCUAACAUCAUUGGACAUGUUUGAUCCUGAACGAUGGACUUCCUGUUUCUCGUCCCCCACACUUUGAACUCUGUACCGCUUCGCCUUGUGCUGUCUGAUCAGUUAUUUGACUGAAUAGAUAGACGCCCCAAUUAGGACACCGCGAGGAAUGAAUGGCGCACUUAUGCCACUGUGGCUUCUGAUUUUGAUUCAUUACAAAUCUAUUUGGAUUAAUUUGGCUUGCUGGUAUUUGUCUCAGGUGGGGAGAGUACCUGGAUUGUACCCAGACAGUGGAUUUAAUAUUGUUGAUUUUAGACAGGUUGUCACAGGAAGGAUAAGAUCAUCAAGGAUGUCAGCCACCUGAGCCACGGCCUGUUCACCCACCUAGAAGGCAGAGACAGUACAGGUGCAUCAAAGAUGGGACCAUAAGACUGAAAAACAACUUCUAUCUCCAGCCCAUCAGACUGUUAAACAAUCAUCAG
This is a long non-coding RNA of Oncorhynchus gorbuscha (pink salmon), 509 nucleotides long. RefSeq lists it as uncharacterized. The transcript is spliced from 3 exons. The record is from RefSeq and is a predicted model, not a curated record. NCBI's taxonomy places the organism in Eukaryota, Metazoa, Chordata, Actinopteri, Salmoniformes, Salmonidae.